UGUGGGUCGGGUGUGGGUUCUGUGGGU
RNAcentral lists this non-coding RNA (27 nucleotides) under Homo sapiens (human). The record is from RNAcentral. Lineage: Eukaryota; Metazoa; Chordata; Mammalia; Primates; Hominidae.